Molecule: long non-coding RNA, 2560 nt
Organism: Dreissena polymorpha
Lineage: Eukaryota; Metazoa; Mollusca; Bivalvia; Myida; Dreissenidae
Exons: 22
Source: RefSeq, a predicted model, not a curated record
GUAGACUAGGUAUUUCCAUAAAUACACUAUGUUUACAUAUCGUACGAUUACCGUAAGUCGACCAUGACCUAAUUUCGACCACUUUGUUUACAUUAAGAACGCGGCCAUUUGGAUGACGUCACACGCAAGCGCUCCGAGUAUUUCGAUGAAGUGACAUAACUACGCUUAUAAACAAAAACAAAUAAAAACAAAAUAAGGAAAAAACAGUUCGUGUUGAAAUUGUUCAGAGAAGCGAAGUUUUAAGUUAAGUUGGCCUAAUCCAUUACCAAUAGAGUGCUGUCCCUUUCCUGGAUGUGACGUAUCGACUUAAGAGUUAGCCAGACCAUGAUUGAGCUUAAGGAUUGUGCUGCGGAUGCAGCCUGUGCAGUUCCGGGAGAAAGUCACUGUCUUGGGCAAUGCGGUCUGGUAUCAGGUCUGGAUGAUCAUUGCCUGACUGCGGGUUUGUGUACACCUCAAUCCGACUCUGUGUCCUGAACAGAGGCCGCAGUGGUGCAGCGCUUGUGGACGUUCCAUCAACAUCCUGAAAGGUCAACACUACACCAAGCUGGGAAAAUUGAUCCUGAUAGUCAUCCCCAGGCCUGACCGUUUGUCCUUGAGCCGUAGAUGGUCAACAAUCCGCUAGCUGUCUUGCUCUGACUGGUGCACUGGACAUGAUUUCAAUUUCGUGUUGAAAUUGUUCAGAGAAGCGAAGUUUUAAGUUAAGUUGGCCUAAUCCAUUACCAAUAGAGUGCUGUCCCUUUCCUGGAUGUGACGUAUCGACUUAAGAGUUAGCCAGACCAUGAUUGAGCUUAAGGAUUGUGCUGCGGAUGCAGCCUGUGCAGUUCCGGGAGAAAGUCACUGUCUUGGGCAAUGCGGUCUGGUAUCAGGUCUGGAUGAUCAUUGCCUGACUGCGGGUUUGUGUACACCUCAAUCCGACUCUGUGUCCUGAACAGAGGCCGCAGUGGUGCAGCGCUUGUGGACGUUCCAUCAACAUCCUGAAAGGUCAACACUACACCAAGCUGGGAAAAUUGAUCCUGAUAGUCAUCCCCAGGCCUGACCGUUUGUCCUUGAGCCGUAGAUGGUCAACAAUCCGCUAGCUGUCUUGCUCUGACUGGUGCACUGGACAUGAUUUCAAUAACGCGGCCAUUUGGAUGACGUCACACGCAAGCGCUCCGAGUAUUUCGAUGAAGUGACAUAACUACGCUUAUAAACAAAAACAAAUAAAAACAAAAUAAGGAAAAAACAGGCUUAUCUAAAACGACUUUUGUAAAAUGGGCACAGUGUGACAAUAGAGCCUGCAACCACUGGGUACACCUGUCAGUUUGUACAGAAAUUAAAGUCAUCAGAAGAGUUCGUGUUGAAAUUGUUCAGAGAAGCGAAGUUUUAAGUUAAGUUGGCCUAAUCCAUUACCAAUAGAGUGCUGUCCCUUUCCUGGAUGUGACGUAUCGACUUAAGAGUUAGCCAGACCAUGAUUGAGCUUAAGGAUUGUGCUGCGGAUGCAGCCUGUGCAGUUCCGGGAGAAAGUCACUGUCUUGGGCAAUGCGGUCUGGUAUCAGGUCUGGAUGAUCAUUGCCUGACUGCGGGUUUGUGUACACCUCAAUCCGACUCUGUGUCCUGAACAGAGGCCGCAGUGGUGCAGCGCUUGUGGACGUUCCAUCAACAUCCUGAAAGGUCAACACUACACCAAGCUGGGAAAAUUGAUCCUGAUAGUCAUCCCCAGGCCUGACCGUUUGUCCUUGAGCCGUAGAUGGUCAACAAUCCGCUAGCUGUCUUGCUCUGACUGGUGCACUGGACAUGAUUUCAAUUUCGUGUUGAAAUUGUUCAGAGAAGCGAAGUUUUAAGUUAAGUUGGCCUAAUCCAUUACCAAUAGAGUGCUGUCCCUUUCCUGGAUGUGACGUAUCGACUUAAGAGUUAGCCAGACCAUGAUUGAGCUUAAGGAUUGUGCUGCGGAUGCAGCCUGUGCAGUUCCGGGAGAAAGUCACUGUCUUGGGCAAUGCGGUCUGGUAUCAGGUCUGGAUGAUCAUUGCCUGACUGCGGGUUUGUGUACACCUCAAUCCGACUCUGUGUCCUGAACAGAGGCCGCAGUGGUGCAGCGCUUGUGGACGUUCCAUCAACAUCCUGAAAGGUCAACACUACACCAAGCUGGGAAAAUUGAUCCUGAUAGUCAUCCCCAGGCCUGACCGUUUGUCCUUGAGCCGUAGAUGGUCAACAAUCCGCUAGCUGUCUUGCUCUGACUGGUGCACUGGACAUGAUUUCAAUAACGCGGCCAUUUGGAUGACGUCACACGCAAGCGCUCCGAGUAUUUCGAUGAAGUGACAUAACUACGCUUAUAAACAAAAACAAAUAAAAACAAAAUAAGGAAAAAACAGUUCGUGUUGAAAUUGUUCAGAGAAGCGAAGUUUUAAGUUAAGUUGGCCUAAUCCAUUACCAAUAGAGUGCUGUCCCUUUCCUGGAUGUGACGUAUCGACUUAAGAGUUAGCCAGACCAUGAUUGAGCUUAAGGAUUGUGCUGCGGAUGCAGCCUGUGCAGUUCCGGGAGAAAGUCACUGUCUUGGGCAAUGCGGUCUGGUAUCAGGUAAGCA